AGGCCUAGGCCAACAACGCACUAUUCUGAUAACUAUGCGAUUGCGAUAUUAAGUGCAAUUCAGGGGCCAGAUAAAUGCACUGGCUGCUAAAGCGCACCCGUUACGCAGAAUGCGGCCGCUCCUUGGGACGCAGGAGGCGGGGGCACAAUAGGCGAUCUUUGGUUCUUGCCAGUUUUACAUCGUCACGGCAAUUCCUGCUUGGCCAUCCUAGAAAAUUAUGAUUACUUAUCCCGGCUGCCAGUGACGUAUCUCCCGAGGAUAUCAUUGUCACUGUCGUAGGAAGAGUCGACAAGGCCGCUCUUAUAAUUACCAUGGAACAGGACGAUCUGAGUUAAAUGGAUUAACCGGACGUGGGGAUCCGUGUUGAGAGAAUUUGGAUGCGACGGGGUUGCGAAUGGCGGGUGUCUCUACGGAUAUGAUGUCGAAUUCAUUCUGGGGACGAGCAGUGCUACCAACCCCACGAUGACCAUUCGGAUUACCGGCAGAGUCAUAACGGUAUCCAGAAGCUCUUCUCUCAGCGGCUUGUCUGGAAAGCCUCCUCCAUCGCCUUGACGAUGAUCUCGUUAAUGGAAUAGAAACUCUGAGCCUGAGAACAGUCGACCUGGUUCCACCAUUCGCAGACCAGUCGCUCCUGAUUGAAAAGUGUGCCGUUGGGACAGAGGAAGGAGUCCUU
This is a long non-coding RNA of Cephus cinctus (wheat stem sawfly), 673 nucleotides long. RefSeq lists it as uncharacterized. The record is from RefSeq and is a predicted model, not a curated record. NCBI's taxonomy places the organism in Eukaryota, Metazoa, Arthropoda, Insecta, Hymenoptera, Cephidae. The transcript is spliced from 3 exons.